Molecule: transfer RNA, 71 nt
Filed under: Candidatus Woesebacteria bacterium
Lineage: Bacteria; Candidatus Woeseibacteriota
Description: tRNA-Gly
Rfam family: tRNA
About the family: Transfer RNA (tRNA) molecules are approximately 80 nucleotides in length.
Source: RNAcentral
GCGGCUAUAGUUCAGUGGUAGAACGAGUCGUUGCCAACGACUAGGAGCGGGUUCGAUUCCCGCUAGCCGCU